This 215-nucleotide long non-coding RNA is filed under the name Lathyrus oleraceus (garden pea). RNAcentral describes it as "Pisum sativum (pea) long non-coding RNA (PSAT_LNC019160)". Lineage: Eukaryota; Viridiplantae; Streptophyta; Magnoliopsida; Fabales; Fabaceae. The record is from RNAcentral.
GGAGGGGAGUGGUGUCUAGGUCUUUAGUGUAAUGGGUUCGAUUCCCCUAUGUGUAGUUUUUUUUCUUUUAACAUUUUCUUUUAUAUUUAUGCUUUAUUACUCAUAGUUUUUAUUAUUGUUUAAUAAUAUAGAUUUGUUUUUCUUUUAAUUGCAUCAAGUGUUCGAAACCAUUUGAAAACUAUAAAAAUCAUACUUUUCUCGAUUUAAUAUCGAGC